UGAACUAUGAUGGAUGGCCAGU
RNAcentral lists this non-coding RNA (22 nucleotides) under Rattus norvegicus (Norway rat). Lineage: Eukaryota; Metazoa; Chordata; Mammalia; Rodentia; Muridae. The record is from RNAcentral.